This 74-nucleotide small RNA is filed under the name Xanthomonas populi. RNAcentral's name for it is "sX9 sRNA". It matches the Rfam family "Xanthomonas sRNA sX9". Lineage: Bacteria; Pseudomonadati; Pseudomonadota; Gammaproteobacteria; Lysobacterales; Lysobacteraceae. The record is from RNAcentral.
AUGCACCACUCGUACCCUGCUGUUCCUCCGCGCCGUCCACGCCUAUGUAACGACUGUUCGCCAGGUUUUUAUUC